RNAcentral lists this ribosomal RNA (482 nucleotides) under uncultured bacterium. Its description in RNAcentral is "partial 16S ribosomal RNA". It matches the Rfam family "Bacterial small subunit ribosomal RNA", at positions 36 to 507 of the family's 1533-position model. The record is from RNAcentral.
CUUUCCCUCUGGCGGCAUGCCUUACACAUGCAAGUCGAACGGUAACGGGCCUUCGGGUGCCGACGAGUGGCGAAAGGGUGAGUAAUACAUCGGAACGUGCCCGAUCGUGGGGGAUAACGAGGCGAAAGCUUUGCUAAUACCGCAUACGAUCUACGGAUUAAAGCAGGGGACCGCAAGGCUUUGCGCGGACGGUGCGGCCGAUGGCAGAUUAGGUAGUUGUUGGGAUAAAAGCUUACCAAGCCGACGAUCUGUAGCUGGUCUGAGAGGAUGAUCAGCCACACUGGGACUGAGACACGGCCCAGACUCCUACGGGAGGCAGCAGUGGGGAAUUUUGGACAAUGGGCGCAAGCCUGAUCCAGCCAUGCCGCGUGGAGGAUGAAGGCCUUCGGGUUGUAAACUGCUUUUGUACGGAACGAAAAGCCUUCUUUUAAUACAGGAUGGUCAUGACGGUACCGUAAGAAUAAGCACCGGCUAACUACGUG